CCCUUUGUGGCGCAGAGGUAUCGCGUCGGGCUACUGAACGAAAGGUCGCUGGUUCGAAACCGGCCCAGGCGA
Molecule: transfer RNA, 72 nt
Filed under: Ixodes scapularis (black-legged tick)
Lineage: Eukaryota; Metazoa; Arthropoda; Arachnida; Ixodida; Ixodidae
Description: tRNA-Ser for anticodon ACU
Source: RNAcentral